This 495-nucleotide ribosomal RNA is filed under the name uncultured bacterium. Its description in RNAcentral is "partial 16S ribosomal RNA". It matches the Rfam family "Bacterial small subunit ribosomal RNA", at positions 28 to 507 of the family's 1533-position model. The record is from RNAcentral.
GACGAACGCUGGCGGCGUGCCUAAUACAUGCAAGUAGAACGCUGAAGGAGGAGCUUGCUUCUCUGGAUGAGUUGCGAACGGGUGAGUAACGCGUAGGUAACCUGCCUGGUAGCGGGGGAUAACUAUUGGAAACGAUAGCUAAUACCGCAUAAUAGUAGAUGUUGCAUGACAUUUGCUUAAAAGGUGCAAUUGCAUCACUACCAGAUGGACCUGCGUUGUAUUAGCUAGUUGGUGGGGUAACGGCUCACCAAGGCGACGAUACAUAGCCGACCUGAGAGGGGGAUCGGCCACACUGGGACUGAGACACGGCCCAGACUCCUACGGGAGGCAGCAGUAGGGAAUCGUCGGCAAGGGACGGAAGUCUGACCGAGCAACGCCGCGUGAGUGAAGAAGGUUUUCGGAUCGUAAAGCUCGGUUGUAAGAGAAGAACGAGUGUGAGAGUGGAAAGUUCACAGUGUGACGGUAACUUACCAGAAAGGGACGGCUAACUACGUG